RNAcentral lists this ribosomal RNA (447 nucleotides) under uncultured bacterium. RNAcentral's name for it is "bacterial SSU rRNA". It matches the Rfam family "Bacterial small subunit ribosomal RNA", at positions 355 to 825 of the family's 1533-position model. The record is from RNAcentral.
UCGGGAAUUUUGGGCAAUGGGCGAAAGCCUGACCCAGCAACGCCGCGUGAAGGAUGAAGUAUUUCGGUAUGUAAACUUCGAAAGAAUAGGAAGAAUAAAUGACGGUACUAUUUAUAAGGUCCGGCUAACUACGUGCCAGUAGCCGCGGUAAUACGUAGGGACCAAGCGUUGUUCGGAUUUACUGGGCGUAAAGGGCGCGUAGGCGGCAAUUCAAGUCAUCUGUGAAAUCUCCGGGCUUAACUCGGAACGGUCAGAUGAUACUGCUUUGCUAGAGUGCAGAAGGGGCAAUCGGAAUUCUUGGUGUAGCGGUGAAAUGCGUAGAUAUCAAGAGGAACACCUGAGGUGAAGACGGGUUGCUGGGCUGACACUGACGCUGAGGCGCGAAAGCCAGGGGAGCAAACGGGAUUAGAUACCCAUGUAGUCCCUGAGCGGGCUGGCAAGGCGCAU